Molecule: ribosomal RNA, 518 nt
Filed under: uncultured bacterium
Lineage: Bacteria
Description: partial 16S ribosomal RNA
Rfam family: Bacterial small subunit ribosomal RNA
Source: RNAcentral
AACGAACGCUGGCGGCGCGCCUAACACAUGCAAGUCGAGCGCGAAAGUCCCUUCGGGGGCUAGUAGAGCGGCGGACGGGUGAGUAAUACGUGGAUAAUCUUCCCUCGAGCUUGGGAUAACCCUGCGAAAGUGGGGCUAAUACCGGAUAAGACCACAUAGCAUAUGCUACGUGGUAGAAGGUGGCUUAUAUUUACAUGAGCUAUCACUUGAGGACGAGUCCAUGGCCUAUCAGCUAGUUGGUGAGGUAAAAGCUCACCAAGGCUAUGACGGGUAGCUGGUCUGAGAGGACGACCAGCCACACUGGGACUGAGACACGGCCAGACUCCUACGGGAGGCAGCAGUGGGGAAUAUUGGGCAAUGGGCGAAAGCCUGACCCAGCGACGCCGCGUGGGUGAUGAAGGCCUUCGGGUUGUAAAGCCCUUUCGUGCGGAAAGAACAGCCCUGUAGCGAAUACCUACAGGGUUUGACGGUACCGCAGGAAGAAGCACCGGCUAACUCCGUGCCAGCCGCCGCGGUAA